UGAUCACAGAAAUGAACAACUGGAUGA
Molecule: non-coding RNA, 27 nt
Filed under: Mus musculus (house mouse)
Lineage: Eukaryota; Metazoa; Chordata; Mammalia; Rodentia; Muridae
Source: RNAcentral